CUGGGAUCAGGUUUCCUUGAAGUAGAGCCUCAAUUAAGACAAUGCCUAAAAGUAGAAAAGAGAGUGCUAUGGUUUAAACAUUUGUCCCCUCCAAGAGUCAGGUUGAAAUUUAAUUGGUAUUGUAACAGUAUUAAAAGAUGGGGCUAUUAAGAGAUGAUCAAGCCAUGAAGGCUUUACCCUCAUGAAUAGAAUUAUUGCCAUGAUAAAAGGGCAAAUUUGGCCUUCUUUUGCUUCUCUCUUGACUCUCUUCUACUUUUCUGCCAUGUGAGGAACAGUGUUCCUGCCCUCACAAGGAUGCAGCCUUCAAGGUGUCAUCUUGGAAGCAGAGACUGGGCCCUCAUCAGACACCAAACCCGUUGGCAUCUUAAUCUUGGAUUUCCUAGCCUCCAGAACCCAAUCAGAAGAACAGAUGGCCAUCUUCUGUCAGUACUUGAAGACUGUUUCUAAGAAACAUUAAGCCUCCAUCAGGCUCACUUGUUAAUGCAAAAGUCCCACUCAGGACAGAAGCUGGGACAAUCUUUGAAGUUGUCAGGGCCUUUAAGAAUUAUGCUAUCUACUCUGCCUAUGCUCUAUAAAUGGAAAAACGAAGGCUGACUGACAGCACACCUGUCUAUAGCAUGGUUUAUUGAAUAUUUUAAGCUGACUGUUGAGACCUACUGCUCAGAAAAAAAAUUCUUUCAAAAUAUUACUGCUCAUUGACAAUGCACCUGUUCACCCAGAAGCUCAGAUAAAGAUAGAGGUACAACUAAAUGAGUGUUGUUUUCAUACUUGCUAACACAACAUCCAUUCUGCAGCCCAUGGAUCAAGGAGUAAUUUCAACUUUCAAGAUUAUUAUUUAAAAAAUACAUUUCAUAAGGCCAUAGCUGCCAGAGACAUUGAUUCCUAUGAUGAAUCUGGGAAAAGUGAGUCAAAAAAAUUCUGGAAAUGAUUCACCAUUAUAGAUGUCAUUAAGCACAUUUGCAGUUUAGCAGAGGAAAUCAAAAUAUCAAGAUGAACAGGAGUUUGGGAAGAAGUUGAUUCCAAGUCUCACGGAUGACUUUAAGGGGUUCACGACUUCAGAAGAGGAAUUAACUGCAGAUAUGGUGGAAAUAGAGAAUUAGAAUUAGUGGAACCUGAAGAUGUGACUGAAUUGCUGCAAUCUCAUGAUAAAACUUGAAAAGAUGAUGAAUUGCUUUUUAUGUAUAAGCAAAGAAAAUUGUUUCUUGUUAUGUAAUCUACUCCUGGUGAAGAUACUGUGAAUACUUUUGAAAUGACAACAAUGGAUUUAGAACACUACAUAAACAUAGUUGAUAAAGCAGUGGCAGGGUUUGAGAGGAUUGACUCCAAUGUUGAAAGAAGUUCUGUGAGUAGUAAAAUGCUAUCAAACAGCACUGCAUACUACGCAAAAUCUUUUGGGAAAGAAAGAGUCCAUAGAUGGUGUAAACUUUAUCGUAGUCUUACUUUAAGAAAUUGCCACAGCAACCACUGCCUUAGGUAACUGACAUUCUGAUCAGUUAUCAGCCAUAAAUGCCUAGGGAAGACCCUCCAUCAGUAAAAAAUUACAGCUUGCUAAAGGCUCAGAUGAUUAUUAGCAUUUUUUAGCAAAAAAGUAUUUUUAAGAUAUGUAUUUUUAAAACAUAAUUCUGUUGCACACUUAAAAUUAAAAAACUACUUUAUAGUUUAAAUGUAACUUUUCUGUGCAUGGGAAAACCAAAUAACAUGUGUGACUCGCUUUAUUGCUAUAUUUGCUUUAUUGCUGUGGUCUGGAAUAAACUGCGCAAUAUUCUCAAGGUAUGCCUAUAAUAUGUUGCUUCCCAAUGGUUCAUUUGUCUAUGAAGACCUAUAGAUAUUUAUACUAUUAUCCAAUACAAACAUUUUUUAUUUUUACAUCUUUAGUAUCCUAUGUGGUUUUCCUCAUUAAGAACAAGAAUCAGCAAUGCACAGUGGCUCACUUCUGUAGUACCAGCACUUUGAGAGGCUGAGGCGUGAGGAUCACUUGAGCCCAGGAGUUCAAGACCAGCCUAGGCAACAUAUAAAGAACCAAUCUCUAAAAAAAUUUUUUUUUUAAUUAACCAGGUGUGGUGGCAUUUGCCUG
Molecule: long non-coding RNA, 2074 nt
Filed under: Homo sapiens (human)
Lineage: Eukaryota; Metazoa; Chordata; Mammalia; Primates; Hominidae
Description: HSALNT0091169
Source: RNAcentral